UCUCCUCUCACUGUUUCCACCAUCCUCCUCGCCUCCUAUCUCUAUUGCCGCUCGGCCCGCUCCUACCACUCCCCCAGUGCCCCCAACAGCAACCACCACCACCACCGCAGUAACCACACACCUUGACGCCUGGCUGAAGCUGAACGGCUGGUGCCCGGUUUCCAGGAACUUGCCGCUGCCAACCCCGCUGUCCACGCCGCUCUCGGAGGUCGUUUCACUCUCGCAGACUCGCAGUACGCCGCGGAUCGGAGGCGGAGGAGGUGAUAAGAUUUGUUGUGAUUGCUGAACAAAGAUAAGGGCUUGGACUUGAACAAAGAUGUCCAUAUUCAAAAUUGGCACAGUUCAUGAAGUUUUGUUGUAUUACAGCUGCAGAAGCUGUGUUAAUUCAGCAGUUUUGAGUUUUAUUUGCA
Corylus avellana is the source of this 410-nucleotide non-coding RNA. The record is from RefSeq and is a predicted model, not a curated record. NCBI's taxonomy places the organism in Eukaryota, Viridiplantae, Streptophyta, Magnoliopsida, Fagales, Betulaceae.